This 76-nucleotide transfer RNA is filed under the name Klebsiella pneumoniae. RNAcentral describes it as "tRNA-Gly". The record is from RNAcentral. Lineage: Bacteria; Pseudomonadati; Pseudomonadota; Gammaproteobacteria; Enterobacterales; Enterobacteriaceae. RNAcentral also lists the same sequence under 17 other names.
GCGAUUAACUGUACGGGUUACAGCGUCCGCCUUCCAAGCGGUACUGAGUGGGGUUCGAUUCCCCCUAGUCGCUCCA